This 397-nucleotide ribosomal RNA is filed under the name uncultured bacterium. Its description in RNAcentral is "partial 16S ribosomal RNA". It matches the Rfam family "Bacterial small subunit ribosomal RNA", at positions 523 to 918 of the family's 1533-position model. The record is from RNAcentral.
AUACGUAGGGGGCGAGCGUUGUCCGGAAUGAUUGGGCGUAAAGGGCGCGUAGGCGGCCCGGUAAGUCUGGAGUGAAAGUCCUGUUUUUAAGAUGGGAAUUGCUUUGGAUACUGUCGGGCUUGAGUGCAGGAGAGGUAAGUGGAAUUCCCAGUGUAGCGGUGAAAUGCGUAGAGAUUGGGAGGAACACCAGUGGCGAAGGCGACUUACUGGACUGUAACUGACGCUGAGGCGCGAAAGUGUGGGGAGCAAACAGGAUUAGAUACCCUGGUAGUCCACACUGUAAACGAUGAAUGCUAGGUGUAGGGGGUAUCGACCCCUUCUGUGCCGCAGUCAACACAAUAAGCAUUCCGCCUGGGGAGUACGGCCGCAAGGCUAAAACUCAAAGGAAUCGACGGGG